GACGAACGCUGGCGGCGUGCUUAACACAUGCAAGUCGAACGGAAGGCCCUGCUUGCAGGGUACUCGAGUGGCGAACGGGUGAGUAACACGUGGGUGAUCUGCCCUGCACUUCGGGAUAAGCCUGGGAAACUGGGUCUAAUACCGGAUAGGAGCCAUUUUUAGUGUGAUGGUUGGAAAGUUUUUUCGGUGUAGGAUGAGCUCGCGGCCUAUCAGCUUGUUGGUGGGGUAAUGGCCUACCAAGGCGGCGACGGGUAGCCGGCCUGAGAGGGUGGACGGCCACAUUGGGACUGAGAUACGGCCCAGACUCCUACGGGAGGCAGCAGUGGGGAAUAUUGCACAAUGGGCGCAAGCCUGAUGCAGCGACGCCGCGGGGGGGAUGACGGCCUUCGGGUUGUAAACUCCUUUCGCUAGGGACGAAGCUUUUUGUGACGGUACCUAGAUAAGAAGCACCGGCUAACUACGUG
This 464-nucleotide ribosomal RNA is filed under the name uncultured bacterium. RNAcentral describes it as "partial 16S ribosomal RNA". It matches the Rfam family "Bacterial small subunit ribosomal RNA", at positions 28 to 507 of the family's 1533-position model. The record is from RNAcentral.